UACGUAGGGUGCGAGCGUUGUCCGGAAUUAUUGGGCGUAAAGAGCUCGUAGGCGGCUUGUCGCGUCGGAUGUGAAAGCCCGGGGCUUAACUCCGGGUCUGCAUUCGAUACGGGCAGGCUAGAGUUCGGUAGGGGAGAUCGGAAUUCCUGGUGUAGCGGUGAAAUGCGCAGAUAUCAGGAGGAACACCGGUGGCGAAGGCGGUUCUCUGGGCCUUACCUGACGCUGAGGAGCGAAAGCAUGGGGAGCAAACAGG
Molecule: ribosomal RNA, 253 nt
Filed under: uncultured bacterium
Lineage: Bacteria
Description: partial 16S ribosomal RNA
Rfam family: Bacterial small subunit ribosomal RNA
Source: RNAcentral